Molecule: ribosomal RNA, 133 nt
Filed under: uncultured bacterium
Lineage: Bacteria
Description: partial 16S ribosomal RNA
Source: RNAcentral
AGGUACCGUCAAAACCCAAAGGUAUUAACCUCAGGCUUUUCUUCCCCACUGAAAGUGCUUUACAACCCUAGGGCCUUCUUCACACACGCGGCAUGGCUGGAUCAGGGUUGCCCCCAUUGUCCAAUAUUCCCCA